This 228-nucleotide long non-coding RNA is filed under the name Ananas comosus (pineapple). RNAcentral's name for it is "long non-coding RNA (ACOM_LNC037281)". Lineage: Eukaryota; Viridiplantae; Streptophyta; Magnoliopsida; Poales; Bromeliaceae. The record is from RNAcentral.
UCUCUAUACAUAGGGACAUCACCCUCGGCCGUAGCCCGAGUAGCAAGGUGAUCGACUAGCACGCUCCUAGUAGUCCCUAGCUAGGCGCGACUCCCUUGCCACGAUCCCUAGCCUCUCCUGUAUCAGGCUCUGUAAAAACAACCAUAAAAAGGGCGUGAGAACUAUUAACAAUAGUUCCCAGUGGGUAAGCCGCCAGCCUCGGCGAAUUACACCACUAGGCUCAUGAUG